Molecule: small RNA, 999 nt
Filed under: uncultured bacterium
Lineage: Bacteria
Description: bacterial SSU rRNA
Rfam family: Bacterial small subunit ribosomal RNA (bases 1-369)
Source: RNAcentral
GAGGAAGGUGUGGAUGACGUCAAGUCAUCAUGCCCCUUACACCUUGGGCUACACACGUACUACAAUGCUACGGACAAAGGGCAGCAAACUCGCGAGAGCUGGCAAAUCCCAUAAACCGUGGCUCAGUUCAGAUCGUAGGCUGCAACUCGCCUACGUGAAGUAGGAAUCGCUAGUAAUCGCAGGUCAGCAUACUGCGGUGAAUACGUUCCCGGGCCUUGUACACACCGCCCGUCACACCAUGGAAGUUGGCCAUGCCCGAAGUCGUUACUCCAACCCUUGUGGAGGAGGACGCCGAAGGUGGGGCUAAUGACUGGGGUGAAGUCGUAACAAGGUAGCCGUACCGGAAGGUGCGGCUGGAUCACCUCCUAACAGGGAGACAACAAAAUGUUUAAUAUUAUUAUUUUGUCACCUUAGGUCGAUCGGUAUCUCACGUUCUUAAUUUAUUAAGAAUUUCAUUUCCUAAGUUUUUCUAGGUCACACCCAAUUUUUUUCCUGGGCCAUUAGCUCAGGUGGUUAGAGCGCACCCCUGAUAAGGGUGAGGUCCCUGGUUCAAGUCCAGGAUGGCCCAUAUCUCUAUGUUGGGGGUAUAGCUCAGUUGGUAGAGCGCCUGCUUUGCAAGCAGGAUGUCAGCGGUUCGAGUCCGCUUACCUCCACUGAUUACCACCUCUUCCAUUUUCGGUAUAAAGGAAAUUUUUUGAGUUGUGAUCAAAUUCUGAACGAUUCUAGCUUCCUAAUGUAAUCAUUAAGAUGCUGGACUCAUUGAAUUAAUUUCAUUGUUUUCAGAGAACCUUGACAACUGCAUAGAUUAUUUUAAAGACAAUAAGCAUCUUUAAUGGUGCAGAUUUAUUAUUUGUGCGAAUGCAUUAAUAACAAUUCUAUUAAGCUGAUGCUUCAAUUUUGAAGUUAUUGGUCAAGCUACAAAGGGCUCACGGAGGAUACCUAGGCACACAGAGGCGAUGAAGGACGUGGUUACCUGCGAUAAGUCUCGGGGAGUGGAAG